Molecule: long non-coding RNA, 697 nt
Organism: Salvia miltiorrhiza (redroot sage)
Lineage: Eukaryota; Viridiplantae; Streptophyta; Magnoliopsida; Lamiales; Lamiaceae
Exons: 2
Source: RefSeq, a predicted model, not a curated record
UCAAGGCCCAAUUUUAAUUAAGUCCACUAGAAAUAUUAAUAGGCCCUCCAGAACUUAUUUAACCAAGCCCAUGGAGAUUUAAUAGGCUAAAAAAAAUUAUUACAAGCCCAAUUAUAAUUAUCAUCAUCUCUAUUUAAUAAGUUAAACCUUAUACAAUAUAAAUUAAAUCUUCCUUCAUUACGUAUCUCCUCUUUCUUCAUUCCCUACCGCUUCUCUCUGUCUCUCUCUUUCCCGGCGAGCGUCGCCGGCCUCCGCCGCCUCCGGCGCGGCGAGGUCGGCCUCUUCUCUUUCACCUUUUUUUCUUUCUUUCUUUCUUUCCCUUUUCCUGAAUCUGAAAUAGAUCUAGGGUUUUCUUUAUUUCCUGAAUUUGAAAUAGAUCUAGGGUUUCUACCUCUCUUCCUCCCCUCUGGAAUUCGUCUCUCCGGCGAGGUUUGCCUCCACCGCCGUCGUCUUUGUCGUGCCGCCGCGUCCUCUGUUUCAGGAAUCGGUGAUUCAAGAUGAGUUGAGAUGGUUUCAUCGGCAGUUCAUCUACAGCCCAAGACUCCCUUUUUAAAGACUCAGCCUUCUAUUUGGAUUAUUAUUGAUUUUUAAAGACUCAGCCUUCUAUUUGGAUUAUUAUUGAUUUAUAAACUGUUGUAACUAGAUGUAUUCUGUAAAUGUUAAAGGAAAUUGAUAUUAUCUCUGCUAUUUUUGAUUA